CUCCCAUUCAUCUGUAGCUGGACCCAAGACGACUCAAGACAGACCGCCAGAUCCGGACAGUGACCCAAAGUCUCCAAAGAAGAUUACGAGGCACCUCAGUUCCUGCACCUGGACCAGUGAGAGAGAUGCUCAGAUGUGAUACCUGCCGCCUGCCAGAACCUGGCCGAGACUGUGGACAAAGCUGCUGGACACUGGAAAAUUGAUUGUACCCCUUUGCCUAGACAAAACAAGGUUUCUGCUUCUGGCAGACAUCUGAGUAUCAGUUGCGGACUACAGGCUGUUCUAAGUAGACUGCGAGCCCUGGACUUGCUGUGGAUGUGAACCAAGUCAGCUGAUGUGGACACUCCCUGACUCUGCAACAGUGUCUGCUAACCAGAAGCCCCUGAUGGAUUCCCCAUUGCCUAAAUUCCUUUUUGCUUUUGACUAGCAUUUCAACCUUCUGGGGUCCCUAACUUCGUCCCAAAGUCAGCAGGAAGCAGUUUG
This 483-nucleotide long non-coding RNA is filed under the name Cricetulus griseus (Chinese hamster). RNAcentral's name for it is "lncRNA (ENSCGRG00015029291.1)". Lineage: Eukaryota; Metazoa; Chordata; Mammalia; Rodentia; Cricetidae. The record is from RNAcentral.